This 566-nucleotide ribosomal RNA is filed under the name Hepatozoon sp. RNAcentral's name for it is "SSU rRNA". The record is from RNAcentral. Lineage: Eukaryota; Apicomplexa; Hepatozoidae.
AGCUAAUACAUGAGCACAUUCUCAACUAUUUUAGAAGAGAAGCAUUUAUUAGAUAAAAAACCAAUAUAUGUUUUUAAAGCAUARAAUUUGGUGAUUUACAAUAACUAAGCAAAUCGCACAGUGCAAACUGGCGAUAAAUCAUUCAAGUUUCUGACCUAUCAGCUUUCGACGGUAAGGUAUUGGCUUACCGUGGCAGUGACGGUUAACGGGGAAUUAGGGUUCAAUUCCGGAGAGGGAGCCUGAGAAACGGCUACCACAUCUAAGGAAGGCAGCAGGCGCGCAAAUUACCCAAUUCUAACAGCAUAAGAGAGGUAGUGACAAGAAAUAACAGUACAAGGCAGUUAAAAUGCUUUGUAAUUGGAAUGAUAGAAAUUUAAAUACUUUUUAAAGUAUCAAUUGGAGGGCAAGUCUGGUGCCAGCAGCCGCGGUAAUUCCAGCUCCAAUAGCGUAUAUUAAAAUUGUUGCAGUUAAAAAGCUCGUAGUUGAAUUUUUGCUAAAAAUAACCGGUCUGCUUUUAUUAAUAAAAGUGGUAUCUUGGUGUGUUUUUAGCAAUAAUGUCCUUUGAA